This 228-nucleotide long non-coding RNA is filed under the name Setaria italica (foxtail millet). Its description in RNAcentral is "long non-coding RNA (SITA_LNC001493)". Lineage: Eukaryota; Viridiplantae; Streptophyta; Magnoliopsida; Poales; Poaceae. The record is from RNAcentral.
GCAAAGCAUCCGAGUAUUCGAGUUGUUGAGAGCACCCCGGUGCUACCACGACUCCAUCCUCGGAAAACUUCAUCCACCCACCGUCGGGCUAUUCGCCGCCUGACGUUUGCCGUCCGCACUUGUGUUCACUCUGCACGCAAAUGGGAUAUCUUCAUCGGUGAUGGUGACAUCGAGCCCAUAGCCUAUGAAAGAAGGUGACUUGGGGCCUGACCCUUCUGCAUAGGGAGG